UGGGCUUGAGAGCUCAGAUUGAGCGACGCGCAGCUGCGGGCCAUUCGCUCCUAGCUUCGCGGACGAGCCGGGUCUCCGAGUGUGCCGCGGGACGUGGUCAGAGUCCAAGAGUCACUGCCCGAACCUGGUGGCUGAAACCCAACCGGAAGCCUCGGAGCCUCCGCCUCCCUCCAGGACCGCUGGGGUCUCCGGUGGGCAUGAAUCAGGUUGUAAGUGGUCGCUGCACAGUCCCAGGAUCAUCGCUGCCCCUUCUCCCGCUCCUCCCCGCCGCACCAUCUUUUUCUUUCAGACCGUGCUUUACAGCCCUUAAUGUGCAUAAAAUAAACUGUGUCCCACGGAACAUGCCGCCUUCUCUCACGCGGGCCGAGAGGAUUGUGAACCGGUAGGCGGCAAAGUGUCACACGGGGAAAGCCCAGACUACGGACUGCUGGGAAUCUGGGUGUACCCGGAGCCUCCCUGGGUGGCCCGGGACUUCGAGGGGCCACCUCUGCUCCCACGGGAUUCGGCCAGGGCACGAAUUGGUGAAAAGCGGGAUGGAGACGCUAGAGGAACACAAUGUCACACGCCAAGCUUUCAAGGUGCACAUGACGGCUGCAGACACUCAAGCCCUUAAAAGGAGCAUUUAAACUUGGGGGGGGGGGAGUACGGAUGGAACUCAGAGGCACACCAAUUAGUGUGAACACAACACUCGCGGGGACUUUGCGGGAGCGUUCACAAUUCCGGAGUGCACGGGGACCGGGAGGUGGCUCCGCCCCGCCUCGCUCCAGUCAAACUUCAGUCUCUGCCGGUAGAAAGGCGUCUCUGCGCUCCCAGGGAUCUACUCGCGCGUCGCCUGUACAAACCCUCUGCUGUGUGGCCUUGUAUCUUUAGGUAGGGGGACAUCUUUUGUCUCUCGGCAAGAAGUUUUCCUCCGGGGAAGAUAAAGUAAUCGAUAGGGCCUUUUUAAAUAGCUCCGAGUUUCCUGUCGGGCCAGGAGUAUCAGCGCGCACACCAAAUCUGCUCUGGUAUGUCAUCUUAUCUCCCUUCCCCGCUGUUGUCCCCAAACGCUGCCUGUCAAGAGAGACGCCACCCGCAUUAGGACCCAGACUGGGGCCCUUCCGCUCGGGGUCACGCGCUGCCCCCUCGGCUCCGCUGUCCUUCGCGUUCCUGGAGGGUGGGAAGGAGAUGCUGCAGCCCGCAUGAAGAUUCUGGGACAUGGAGCGGGUCACUGGGGCACACUGUCACUCAGAACGGGUGUGUGUGGACCGCUUUUCAACCACAAACACAAGGAACAGCCAAACAGCGCAUUGACUGCUUGUCUGUGUGAAGAAAAACCAGGCUCAUUCUUCGAAGGGGCCAUUGGAUCUCAGAGCGCUCCAGGCUGGCCCCAGCUUUCCCUAACUCCAGGAUGACUUUGGAAGGGGAGAGGAGAGGGUCUGGCCUCAGAAUCCUGCCGUUUUCCUUUGCUUCAACUGCUCCACUUCCAACCUGCAGGGAACCGGAGUGGGGUUGCUUAGCCAACACAGAAAGGCCAAGGUAGUGGUGACAAGUGACCACCGCUUGGGCAGUUCUUUCUUUCUUUCUCUCUUUCUUUCUUUCUUUCUUUCUUUCUUUCUUUCUUUCUUUCUUUCUUUCUUUCUUUCUUUCUUUCUUUCUUUCUUUCUUUCUUUCUUUCUUUGUUUUUUCCGAGACAGGGUUUCUCUGUGUAUCCCUGGCUGUCCUGGAACUCACUCUGUAGAUCAGGGUAGCCUCGAACUCAGAAAUCUGCCUGCCUCUGCCUCCCAAGUGCUAGGAUUAAAGGCAUGCACCAUCACUGCCUGGCCACUUUUUUUCUUAAGGUAGUGAGUGAUUCCUGGGGAAAUCUUUGGGCCAGGACUUUGCAGCCUGUGCCCCCCUGGUUCUAAGACAACCUGAUCAGAGAGGUAGGCCCAGAUACUCUUUGAGUGUCUACGCAUCAUUAUGUGCCUGCCCUUCAUUUUUUUUCUAUAUUCAGCCAGCUGUGUCUUCCUUUUUAAACAAAGGAAAAGAAACCCUCUCAGAUGCCCUCCAUCCCCAGGUCCCCAGUCCCCACUGGGUGCAUAUCCAGCCUCCUUUCUGUCACACUGACACACACUGCAGGGGCAGUGGGGAGUUGGGGGGAAUCACUUCUUGGCUGCAAUACAGGCUUGCUCCCUUCCAAUUGCCCAGGAUCAUUCUGGAUUACUCAAACUGCUGAGAGAGGACCACCCACCAAAACACAGCCCCAGGAUAAUCUAGGCCUUGAGAAAAUCUCCCUUGUCAUUUAUCAGGGUUUAUUUACCUAAGAUAGCAGUUUCUGUACGGAAACAAAGUAGGGGCAAGCAUCACCCUCCCCUCCUGCUAAGGAAAAGGCAUCUCUGACUCUUUAGAUCAGCCUUCUCCCAAUGGGCCUGUCCGUAUUAUCCCAGCCCUAACUGAAGCUGAUUCUUGGCAAUAGCAAAAGGUUGAUAUAGGAACCAGUAGUGUUCUCAUAGGAUGGAUUCUGAACUUUCUGUGCUGUGGGGAAACCCACAGACCGCAAACCGAACAACUCAGUGGUUUGGGAGUCAUGGCUCUGGUCUCUUGUGUUAUUCUGACAACUAGUCCUUCCCUUCAGGGCAGACCUGGAGAUGGCCACUUCCCCCACUUAGGCAGAGUGUUCAGUUAGAGCUCUGUUUGAAGAAACAUUUGAAGGGUGUCUUUCCCUCUAACAAAAAAUGGGAGACUAGAGAGUGACAGGAAUGGCUCUCUUCCUGUCCUAUGGAUGUCACCGCCAGGGACACUUAGACCUUUUCUUGAGGGGAAGCUAUAGUGCCUGGUUGGUAAAGGCAAUGGAAAAAGAGGUGGAGCAGCUGGUCCUGCUCUAUCUCUGUGACCCACCCUUCCACUCUGCAGGAGACACAGGGGCAGUAGUUCCUAGUUCUCAGGACUUUUGAUUCCAAUACAAAAGUGCAUAGAAUAAAAGUGAAAUUCAUUUUCCCAAACUGAACGAAAGAACACCCAGCCUGGGCUUCCUCAGAUAACUAAAAUUCUCUCUCUCUCUCUCUCUCUCUCUCUCUCUCUCUCUCUCUCUCUCUCUCUCUCUCUCUCUCUCUCUCUCUCUCCCCGUCUCCCUCUCCCUCUCUCUCUCUCUCUCUCUCUCUCUGUCUCUCCCUCUCUCUCUCCCUCUCUCUCUCUCUCUCUCUCUCUCUCUCUCUCUCUCUCUCUCCCUCCCUCUCUCUCUCUGCCUUAGGGAUGUGCUGGAAUUAUAGAUGUGUGCCACCACACAGCACUCUUGACCCGAAAACUAGAUUACUCUCACCUACUUUUGAGCAUGAAGGAGCGUGACUUUGUGGCUGACAAUAUUUAUGCAAUGUGGGUUCAUGAGGUCCUGCCAGGUUGGAGCUGUCAAGUCUUUUUGCUCUCAUUGUAUUAAUAUACUCCAGGUUGAGCAUUCUUGACUAAAAUUCCAAAUGCCUACAGUCUGAAACAACCCCUGUACCUGCACACUGGGGCUCUGUCUGCCUAUCAAAUGGAAAGGGCAAGAACACUGUGCAAAAAAUGACUUCCAGGUUGUACAUAUAUUAAGCAGAUGGAUUCUGCAUUGACAAUGGAGUUCUGUCCCUGAGAUGUCUCUCACUAUAAACAAAUAUGUAGGCAAGUAUCCCCAACUCAAAAUCCAAAGGGAUAGAACCCUGGUAGGUGAUGCUUCAGAUAAGGGGUGCCUCAUGCUGUUUUCCAUUCCUGGUCUGCCAGGGUCUCUUUCAUGUCACAUUUCCUGUUUUUGUUUGUUUUUUGUUGUUGUUGUUUUUGUUUUUGUUUUGUUUUUUUGCAUGUCACAGAAUAGUGAGUGUUCAUUCUGAGGACUCUAGUACCUGCCUUUCACACACACUUUUCUAUUGUGUAAACACCCCUGAGUAGCAUUGCUGUGACAUAGGAUAUUCACAGACUCAGUUUUAGUUGGCUCUCAACAGUUUUCCACACUGCUGACCUGCACUCUAUCCAUUCUGGAUGGGUAUGAGGCUUGCAGCUUCUCAAGAGCCAGCCAAUGCUAUGGAUUUUAAAGUUUAAGCCAUUCUGGCAGGGAUGCGUUAUCUGGACACCUAGAGAAUCGAGCUAUCUCCAAUGGCUUAUUGGCUUUUUUAAUAUAUUUGCCAAGGUGCCUGUCUAUCUCUUUUGUCUUUUAUUCUCAUUAAUAUGCUUUUAUUCAAUUCUUAAAAUUGCUCAUUUUAACUUUAUUUUUUUCUGGUACAAUAAUUGUAACUAUUGCAUAUAUUGUGUAAUGUUUUGAUAAAUAUAUAGUUUGCCAAAUGCUUAAACCGAGUUAAACAUACAAAUUUUCUCAAAUACCAUUCUUCCUGGCUUUCUGUACUCUGGGUUGCUAAGAUGCACAAUGUCUCCCACUCUGACCCAGCACCUUUCUACACAGUUGCUUGCUCCCUGCUGAGCGCUGGCUUCUCUCUACUGCCCACUCACCCCACUAGUUGCCUUUUGUUGUUUGUAUUUGAGACAAGGUUCGCUAUGCCCUGACUGGCAUGGAACUCGUUAUAUAGACCACACUUGCCUCAAAGUUAUAGGUAUGUGCCACCCCCGGCUUGCCUCUUGUUGUUGUUGUUUGUUUGUUUGCUUUGUCUUUUAACUCUCCUAGGAACAAACCUUGUGUGAGUGUGUGAGUGUGUGUGUGUGUGUGUGUGUGUGUGUGUGUGUGUGUGUGUGUGUAUGUGUGUGUGUGUGUGUGUGUGUAUAACCCUCUGGGCCAGUGACCAUGGUUCUUCUGGCCUUGAGGUUGUGUUAGUACUAGCACAUGUAUCUGGGGUGUCUGCAGCUGAGCAAUCUUCUCGUCUGAACAACAAUGACCUUCAACCAAGGAAAGUCUUGAAGACAGAACUCUGGACUAGUUCUGUUUGCUUUUCUCCAAGUUGCUAAAACAUCUCUGUCUGUCUUAAUGAUCCAUCGAAUGGAACCAUCUGCUCCAUUUAUUACCCUGUGUCCUCUUUGGAUGGGUCAGAUCCUACCACGCAGUCUAAGCGAUUUUUAAUCCCAUGGCUGUUGUUUUGGGUCUUGUACUUGGUGGUAAGAACUAGAUCUAAGGCCUCUCCAACAGUCCACCUAGCCACGUCUCUCAAUCCUAAACUCCAUGUUCUUACAUUUUUAAAAUUAAAAUGCAUUUAUUUUGUGUGUCUAUGCCAUGACAGCUGGCACAAGGGACUCAGGGGACAAGUUUCAGGAAUCAUUUCCUUCCCUGUUUGUGGCCCGGGAAUCAAAUGCAGGUUGCCAGCUGGUGGCAAGUGCCUUUACCCCAUGAACCCUGAACUGUUUCAGCUGUCUUCAUGCUUCUAAAAAAUCAAACUAAGGUGACUGCAGGUCAGAAACAAAACCACAAAAAACCUGAAACCUUCCUCUUGGAAUAUGAGUGAAAUAUAAGCAUCAUUUAAUACAGUCCCUCUGCAAUUUGGUAGUUCUAAAACACUUUUUUUUUCAUAUUAGAUGGAGACAGCAUAUGCUUUUUCUAAAUUAUUUUGAUUGAUUGCUUGAUUUUAUUGAGACAGGGUUUCUCUGUGUAGCCUUGGCUGUCCUGGAAAUCACACUGUAGACCAGGCUGGCCUCAGACUCACAGAGAAGCCGGAGUUCUGGGAUUAAAGGGAUCCACCACCAAGGCAGGCUUAUUUUGAUCAUUUAAAAGUGUCUGUAACCCACUGAUAUUUUUCUUUGCAUGUUCUAACUAUUGGGCUUUUCACUUCUUUUCUUACUGAUGUUUGAAGUCUCUUUUUCAAUUAGCUAGUGACUCCUUGUCAGGUUAUUUUAUGUGAUAUUUUAUUGUUAAUUAAUUAAUAUUGUUAUUACUAUUUUACCAUUUUCCUGAUUGUCUUCUUAAAAGUUUUAUUUAGGUUGUAGGAUGCUUGGUAAUUUUUAAAAGGGAUAUUCAUACACAGUAGGGCUUUGGUUUCUAGUUAGAACUCACCAUGGGCCAUGGUAGGGCAGGGCAGCCCGGUGUUAAGUCCACAGGACAAAGGCCAUAAGCUGUUUUACCUUGAGCACCAGGAACCGUGAUAGGCUAGCCCAUCGAGGCAUUUCCAUCCUGGACAUCAAGCCUGAGGAAGUGUUAGUGAGCGCUCCAAGGUCAGAAAGAAACUUCUGGCAAAGCAAGCAGAGCAGAGGGAGGAAAGCUUGUGAAGUCAGGCUUGGGGAAGGGAAGAGCCCAAGAAGAGUUUCAGGGGAAAGACCUCGGGGAAUGACACACAGGAAACUCUUGUGGGCAGACUCAGGCUCUGGAUUAUGGCUGCAUCCUACUUUGGGACAAUGUUUGCCCUUCUCGAACCUUGAUGUUCUCAUCUGAAAAAUAAGACAAUAGUCAAGGUUUCUUAAAAGACUUUGAGCAUUAACAUAAGAGAGCAUCCUCAAUAGCAGGGUGUUCCAAUGUAUUCUCUCCGAUAGGAGAAAAGCAUGAGGUCUUGCUACAGGGUGACAACAACAGAUUUUUCCCAAUCCCAGUGACUUCUGCACAGAUUGGAAGGUGGUCCCAGACUCUCAGACUCCUGGGAGUGGGGCCUGGUCCUAGCCUGAGUUCUUUUACCUGGGCCUUAGCCUGCUGGUUAAGGGUCACUCACCCAAGGCCCUAUGCUCAGUCACUGCCUGGGGUUGCUAGUCCCAGAGCACCAGGAGAGAGGGGGAAGGGGAGGGAAUGAGAUGGAGAAACAGAGAGUAGAAAGAGAAAGAGAGAGGUAAUUGAGUGGGAAAAGAGGGUGGAGAGGAGAGGUGAGGAGAGGAGAGGAGACUGGAGGAGGAACUUCUAGGGAACCUAACUUUUGUAAAUUUGAAAGAAGGUUCCAAGCAUGCAAGAUCCUUGCUUCCCACCUCCCCAAUCCCCAGCCCUGUUUCCUUGACCCUUGCUUUAGGUCUGCACGGGACUAAAGCGCCUGGAGGAGCCCUGGAGGAGCCUGUCCCAUGAGCCGCAUGCACAGCCACCAGGUCUCUUCCUGGUAACUCGGGCACAGAAAACUGUUUUUCUGGGGUACAGUUUCAGAGAGAAAGGGGGGGCCUGUGUGGGUCCCGCCUGGUUGUGUUUGGAAGGGAGAAGAGAAGGAUACAUUUUGAGAUCUGCUGCGCAGCAGUGAGAACGUGGCACAAUAGAUAACAAUAAUCACUAGAGUAUUGUGGGCUAUAUAGUAAUGCAUAAUUUUUACACAAGUCAAGUGUUAUAAUUAAGGAGAAAUGUAUUAAAAUUUUCAUAGUAAGAGUCAAUCUAAAAUGUCUCAAUAUAAGAAAUCAGAGUUAGGCAAGCUGGUCGACAUGUUAAUUAGCUUAAUUUAAUCAUUUUAUAAUCAUUUUAUAAUGUACACACAUCAAGAAGCAUCACAUGGUGCCAUUAUAUCCAAUGCAUAUAUGUAAUUAUGAUAUAUCGAUUAAAAUAAUACACAAAAAUGAGGAAGGUAUGGGCACCCCUUGUCAAUGGCUGGAAAAAUUACCUGUGAUGCUCUGGAGGACCAAACAGGUCAGGAUAAAUGUGAAUUUAUCCUCCUAACUCUCUUUGCUUGAUCCUCCUCCUACUCCAUUGGAGGGAUCAGUGAGCAUGGAAUAAGAUAUGCACCAUGCAAAAGAAAAACCAAACAACCAAACAACAACGUCUCAUUGCUGGGAACGCACUUUUGAGUUAACUGUUUCCUUACUUCAUGGUGGUGCUGGGGAUGGAGGUCCUGCCUUGCCCAAGCUAGGAGAGUGCUUUGUCACACAGCAUGCAGCCCCUCCUACUCCUUAAAACUGGUUCAGUUGGCAGAUUUGGGCGGGUUCUGACUCACCCAGUGUCCUCAGUGUUGGCGAGUGGGCUGAAGCUGAGCCCAGGUCCUUGGUGGUCCAGCUGUGUUUAAGAACCCCCUGGAAUCCUAGGUCACUGCAGAUUCUUGGUCUCCCAUUCAGGAAGUGAGUGAAGCCCGGAAUCUGUUAGUAAAAUCGCAGCAGGCAGGCUGCUUCCCUGCUAGCAGGCUCUGAUAAAGCUGCAGCCUGUAUAUUCUCCAGCUCUUCUCUUUUCUCUUUCUGAGACUCCUCCUGGGGGUCAUCCAGACCUCCUCAUUUCUAGAAAGGCAACAAGGCUGCCCUCAGAAAGCUUUCCCCUGCAGUCCCCAGGACUGGUGGGGCUCAGACUCUAUAAGACCCCAUCAGGGCUGGGAUUCAAUCCUCACCCACAAAGGACAUCAACUGAAGGGAAAAAGGUAAUGCAUGGGCAUUGAAGGGAUAGCCUGUGCUCAGAAGCCGCGUAAAUAUGCCCUGGCCAUGGUGGUGCAGGGAAGGUCCAGUCAGGAGGAUCCCUGGUGUCUCUGGGUAGACAGUCUAGCCUAAUAGGUGGUCUCCAGGCCAAGGAGAAAUGUUCUCUCAGUGAAGGUGACAGGAUUCCCAAGGAUGACAGCAGAGGUAGUCCUUGGCCUGCACACACACAAACACACACACAAACACGGAUACACACACAAACACACACACGAACAUGCAUACACACACAAACACACACACGAACACAGAUACACACACAAACACACACACGAACACGGAUACACACACAAACACACACACGAACAAGAAUACACACACAAACAUGCAUACACACACAAACACACACAUGAACAUGCAUACACACAUACACACAAGCACACAGAACAUGCAUUACACACACACACAAACGUUCACACAUACGUGUGAACAUGAAUAUAUACAUAUAUGAAUAAAAUAAAAAUAACCCCUUAGAGAGGAAAAUAAUAAACACUUACUUUCUUAUCUCAAAUUCAUGCUCCUUAACUUUCAACAUUCAAGAUUCCUUUCCUUUCCUUUCCUUUCCUUUCCUUUCCUUUCCUUUCCUUUCCUUUCCUUUCCUUUCCUUUCCUUUCCUUUCCUUUCCUUUCCUUUCUUUUGUUUUUUUGUUUUUUGUUUGUGUUUUUUUGAGUCAGGGUUUCUCUGUGUAGCCCUGACUGUGGAAUUCCAUAUGUAGACCAAGCUGGCCUUGACCUCAGAGUUCUAUCUGCCUAUGCCUCCCAAGUGCUGGGAUUAAAGGCAAGUACCGCCAUCACACAGCCAAGAUUCCUAUUAUGUUAAAAUUAUAUAUGUCAUGAAUAUAUUCACUCCUGCCUCUCUGUGUGACCCUAACUGGUCCAGAACUAAGUAGACCAGACUGGUCUCAAACUCACUCACAGAAAUCCACCUGCCUCUGCCCCCAAUGAAAGCAUGUGUCACCAUGCCCAGCUAUGAAUAUGCUCUUAAAAUUUACUUACUCAUUUAUUUUAUGUGCAUUGGUGUUUUGCCUCCAUGUAUGCCUAAGUGAGGAUAUAGGAUUCUCUAGAACCGGACUUACAGACCGUUCUGAGCUGCUGUGUGGGUGCUGGGAGUUAACCCCUGUGGAGGAGCAGCCAGUGCUUGUAACCACUGAGCCAUCUCUACAGCUCCAUUUUCACUGAUUGUUUCUUAUUUUUCCUCUGAUUUUAAAUUUAUUUUAUCUUUAAAAAGAUUUGUUUAUGUUUAUUUUAUAUGUAUUGGUGUGUUGACUGAGUGCAUAUCUGCAUGAGGGUGUUGAAUCCCCUGGAACUGGGGUUACUGACAGUUGUGAGCAGCCAUGUGGCUGGUGGAAGUUGAACUCAGGACCUCUGGAAGAGCAGCCAGUACUCUUUAAUCCCUGAGCCAUCUCUCCAGCCCCUUAUUUUUAGUUGAAAUAGAAUGACAUCACUUUCUCCUCUCCGUUUCCUCCCUCUGCUCCCAGAUACCUUCUCGUGAAUCAUUCCUAUGUCUUCCUCGAGCCUGAUAGCCUUUUUUUCUUUAAUCAGUAUUGAUAAGCCUGUUUUUCUUUGAUUAUUAUUGCUACUCACAUAUGCUUGUGU
RNAcentral lists this long non-coding RNA (9809 nucleotides) under Mus musculus (house mouse). The record is from RNAcentral. Lineage: Eukaryota; Metazoa; Chordata; Mammalia; Rodentia; Muridae.